GUUGUCCGGAAUUAUUGGGCGUAAAGAGCUCGUAGGCGGUUUGUUGCGUCGGCUGUGAAAACCUGAGGCUCAACCUCAGGCCUGCAGUCGAUACGAGCAGACUAGAGUGUUGCAGGGGAGACUGGAAUUCCUGGUGUAGCGGUGAAAUGCGCAGAUAUCAGGAGGAACACCGGUGGCGAAGGCGGGUCUCUGGGCCGAUACUGACGCUGAGGAGCGAAAGCGUGGGGAGCGAACAGG
This 237-nucleotide ribosomal RNA is filed under the name uncultured bacterium. RNAcentral describes it as "partial 16S ribosomal RNA". It matches the Rfam family "Bacterial small subunit ribosomal RNA", at positions 540 to 776 of the family's 1533-position model. The record is from RNAcentral.